RNAcentral lists this ribosomal RNA (497 nucleotides) under uncultured bacterium. Its description in RNAcentral is "partial 16S ribosomal RNA". It matches the Rfam family "Bacterial small subunit ribosomal RNA", at positions 28 to 507 of the family's 1533-position model. The record is from RNAcentral.
GAUGAACGCUGGCGGCGUGCCUAAUACAUGCAAGUCGAGCGAACAGACGAGGAGCUUGCUCCUCUGACGUUAGCGGCGGACGGGUGAGUCACACGUGUAUAACCUACCUAUCAGUCUGGGAUCACUUCGGGAAACCGGAGAUAAUACCGGAUAAUCUAUUGAUCCGCAUGGUUCAAUAGUGAGAGUCGGUGUUGCUGUCACUUAUAGAUGGAUACGCGCCGCAUGAGCUAGUUGGUAAGGUAAAGGCUUUUCAAGGCGACGAGGCGUAGACGAGCUAAGAGGCGGAUAGGCGGCCUGGGAGCUGGAACACGGUCCAGACUCCUAAGGGAGGCACCAGAAGGGAAUCUGCCGCAGUGGGCGAAAGCCUGGCGGAGCAGCGCGGCGUGAGUGAUGAAGAUCUUCGGAUCGUAAAGCUCUGUUAUUAGUGAAGAACAAAUUUGUAAGUAACUGUGCACUUCUUGACGGUACCGAGUCAGAAAGCAACGGCUAACUACGUG